ACUCCUACGGGAGGCAGCAGUGGGGAAUAUUGCACAAUGGGGGAAACCCUGAUGCAGCCAUGCCGCGUGUGUGAAGAAGGCCUUCGGGUUGUAAAGCACUUUCAGUAGGGAGGAAGGUAGUGUAGUUAACACCUGCAUUAUUUGACGUUACCUACAGAAGAAGCACCGGCUAACUCCGUGCCAGCAGCCGCGGUAAUACGGAGGGUGCGAGCGUUAAUCGGAAUUACUGGGCGUAAAGCGCAUGCAGGCGGCCUGUUAAGUCAGAUGUGAAAGCCCGGGGCUUAACCUCGGAAUUGCAUUUGAAACUGGCAGGCUAGAGUCUUGUAGAGGGGGGUAGAAUUUCAGGUGUAGCGGUGAAAUGCGUAGAGAUCUGAAGGAAUACCAGUGGCGAAGGCGGCCCCCUGGACAAAGACUGACGCUCAGAUGCGAAAGCGUGGGGAGCAAACA
RNAcentral lists this ribosomal RNA (447 nucleotides) under uncultured bacterium. Its description in RNAcentral is "bacterial SSU rRNA". It matches the Rfam family "Bacterial small subunit ribosomal RNA", at positions 335 to 774 of the family's 1533-position model. The record is from RNAcentral.